This 445-nucleotide ribosomal RNA is filed under the name Methanoplanus sp. enrichment culture clone CIBANICRA-53. RNAcentral's name for it is "bacterial SSU rRNA". It matches the Rfam family "Archaeal small subunit ribosomal RNA", at positions 324 to 774 of the family's 1478-position model. Lineage: Archaea; Methanobacteriati; Methanobacteriota; Methanomicrobia; Methanomicrobiales; Methanomicrobiaceae. The record is from RNAcentral.
CACGGGGCGCAGCAGGCGCGAAAACUUUACAAUGCGGGCAACCGUGAUAAGGGAACCUCGAGUGCCUGUAUAUGCAGGCUGUCCAGGUGUCUAAAACACACCUGAAGAAAGGGCCGGGCAAGACCGGUGCCAGCCGCCGCGGUAAUACCGGCGGCUCGAGUGGUGGCCGCUUUUAUUGGGCUUAAAGCGUUCGUAGCUGGGUCGUUAAGUCUCUUGGGAAAUCCGGCAGCUCAACUGUCGGGCGUCUAAGAGAUACUGGCGAUCUUGGAACCGGGAGAGGUGAGGGGUACUUCGGGGGUAGGAGUGAAAUCCUGUAAUCCUCGAGGGACCACCUGUGGCGAAGGCGCCUCACCAGAACGGCUUCGACAGUGAGGGACGAAAGCUGGGGGAGCAAACCGGAUUAGAUACCCGGGUAGUCCCAGCCGUAAACAAUGCGGUUAGGUGA